UACGAAGGGGGCUAGCGUUGCUCGGAAUUACUGGGCGUAAAGGGCGCGUAGGCGGAUAGUUUAGUCAGACGUGAAAUCCCUCGGCUCAACCGGGGAACUGCGUCUGAUACUGGGUGGCUUGAAUCCGGGAGAGGGAUGCGGAAUUCCAGGUGUAGCGGUGAAAUGCGUAGAUAUCUGGAGGAACACCGGUGGCGAAGGCGGCAUCCUGGACCGGCAUUGACGCUGAGGCGCGAAAGCCAGGGGAGCAAACGGG
This 253-nucleotide ribosomal RNA is filed under the name uncultured bacterium. RNAcentral describes it as "partial 16S ribosomal RNA". It matches the Rfam family "Bacterial small subunit ribosomal RNA", at positions 524 to 776 of the family's 1533-position model. The record is from RNAcentral.